Molecule: ribosomal RNA, 443 nt
Filed under: uncultured bacterium
Lineage: Bacteria
Description: partial 16S ribosomal RNA
Rfam family: Bacterial small subunit ribosomal RNA
Source: RNAcentral
CCUACGCGUGGCAGCAGUGGGGAAUAUUGGGCAAUGGAGGAAACUCUGACCCAGCAACGCCGCGUGAAUGAUGAAGGUCUUCGGAUUGUAAAGUUCUUUUCUCAGGAAAGAAGAAAGUGACGGUACCUUCGGAAUAAGCCUCGGCUAACUACGUGCCAGCGGCUCCGGUCAUACGUAGGGGGCGGACGUUAACCGGGAUGACUGGGCGUAAAGGGGGCGUAGGUGGUUUGGCGAGGUAGGAGCGUACUUCCAAGCCUCGACCUUUGAACUACUACUAAAACUGUGGGGCUUGAGUGCAGGAGGGGCAACCGGAAUGCCUGGGGUAGCGGUGGAAUGCGUAGAUAUUAGGAGGAACACCAGUGGCGAAGGCGGGUUGCUAGACUGUAACUGACACUGAGGCACGAAAGCGUGGGGAGCAAACAGGAUUAGAUACCCCUGUAGUC